GUCUCAUUCAGGUUUGGCAGCGGGUUGGACCCUGGGCCAAGCUGCGAGGCCGUGGACAUCGCAGGAUCUGCUACAUUACAAUUGUGUGCACUGCUGAUGGGCUUGUCGUCUUCCUCGCUGUCUGGCCCAGAGCACCAUUCGUCCCCACUGUACGGCUGCUUCCUUUCCAGCACACACCGCCGCUUGCUGCGGGGAGCCACGUCGCCUUUCGAUUCGGUGUCCAGCGACGGGGUGCCGGCUUCUCUCUGCUCUCCGGAGUCCACUGAGAUGCUUCGUUCCCGUUU
RNAcentral lists this long non-coding RNA (284 nucleotides) under Gallus gallus (chicken). Lineage: Eukaryota; Metazoa; Chordata; Aves; Galliformes; Phasianidae. The record is from RNAcentral.